RNAcentral lists this ribosomal RNA (253 nucleotides) under uncultured bacterium. RNAcentral's name for it is "partial 16S ribosomal RNA". It matches the Rfam family "Bacterial small subunit ribosomal RNA", at positions 524 to 776 of the family's 1533-position model. The record is from RNAcentral.
UCAGAAAGGGGCUCGAGUUGUUCGGAAUUACGGGGCGUAAAGCGCACGUAGGCGGCCAUGUAAGGUGGGGGUGAAAUCCCGGGGCUCAACCCCGGAACUGCCUUCAAAACUACAUAGCUAGAGGAUGUGAGAGGAUAGUGGAAUUCCGAGUGUAGAGGUGAAAUUCGUAGAUAUUCGGAAGAACACCGGUGGCGAAGGCGACUGUCUGGCACAUUUCUGACGCUGAGGUGCGAAAGCGUGGGGAGCAAACAGG